RNAcentral lists this ribosomal RNA (315 nucleotides) under Triticum aestivum (bread wheat). Its description in RNAcentral is "partial small subunit ribosomal RNA". The record is from RNAcentral. Lineage: Eukaryota; Viridiplantae; Streptophyta; Magnoliopsida; Poales; Poaceae.
AUGUGGUCCGUCCGAGUUCCCCUGAAGAUCCGCAUAUUCAUGUGGCAGUGGAUUCGCGGCCGGGUCCCGUCUGGAGUGGAGGCCUGCAAGCGCAAUGGCCCGGGCACCGGUAUCUGCCCGCUCUGUGGAGUCCCUGAAGACUCGAACCACAUCUUCUUCUCCUGCGUCUCCGCCCAUUUCCUCUGGAGCUGCUUUCGCGAGGUGGUCGGUGGUAGUUGGUGCCACACCAAUUUCCCGGACCUUUUUGCUGAACUCCAGUUGUCCCCCGCGUCCUCUCGCCACAUUAGGUGGCUUGAGGUUGGCGUUCUCGCCUGA